UCGAGUUACCGCUCUACAACCCUUUGUGAACAUACCUAACUGUUGCUUCGGCGGGCAGGGGUCCCCCCGGGGACGCCCCUCCCGGCCCCGCCCCCUACCAGGGGACGUGGCGCCCGCCGGAGGAUACCCAACUCUAUUUUAACGACGUUUCUUCUGAGUGGCACAAGCAAAUAAUU
RNAcentral lists this unclassified non-coding RNA (176 nucleotides) under soil metagenome. RNAcentral's name for it is "partial internal transcribed spacer 1". The record is from RNAcentral.